Molecule: small RNA, 520 nt
Filed under: uncultured Glomus
Lineage: Eukaryota; Fungi; Glomeromycota; Glomeromycetes; Glomerales; Glomeraceae
Description: SSU rRNA
Rfam family: Eukaryotic small subunit ribosomal RNA
Source: RNAcentral
AGCAGCCGCGGUAAUUCCAGCUCCAAUAGCGUAUAUUAAAGUUGUUGCAGUUAAAAAGCUCGUAGUUGAAUUUCGGGGUUAGUAGGUUGGUCAUGCCUCUGGUAUGUACUGGUCUCACUGAUUCCUCCUUCCUGAUGAGCCGUAAUGCCAUUAAUUUGGUGUUGCGGGGAAUUUGGACUGUUACUUUGAAAAAAUUAGAGUGUUUAAAGCAAGCUAACGCUUGAAUACAUUAGCAUGGAAUAAUGAAAUAGGACGUUCGAUCCUAUUUUGUUGGUUUCUAGGAUUGACGUAAUGAUUAAUAGGGAUAGUUGGGGGCAUUAGUAUUCAAUUGUCAGAGGUGAAAUUCUUGGAUUUAUUGAAGACUAACUACUGCGAAAGCAUUUGCCAAGGAUGUUUUCAUUAAUCAAGAACGAAAGUUAGGGGAUCGAAGACGAUCAGAUACCGUCGUAGUCUUAACCAUAAACUAUGCCGACUAGGGAUCGGAUGAUGUUAAUUUUUUAAUGACUCAUUCGGCGCCUUA